CAAAACAAGCCAGCACCAAUGCUCCACAAAUAAGGAACUUUGUACGAGAUAGCGUGAACAACCGUCGAUAAUAGUUCGGGCGCACGACUUGGAAAUACCGAUUGAUUGCGGUGGCAGCCAUGAGCAGUAUAGAUGCGUGUGCGAGGGAUGCCAUGUAGAAGCCUUGAAUCUGGCAGACAAAGAAAAUGGCCAUUCUCCAAGUACCAACACUGGAUAUGUAAAAAAACGGGACAAGAAUGUUACCAAUCAGCCCUACCAGGCUUAGUAUGAUGAACACAAGAGACUCAAUAACGACGCGAGCCGUUCCCCUUGACAAAAAGUUCUCUUGAGGCGCGUUUAACCGUUUAUCUGCAGAAGACAUAUUCAUUUCUAGUCCUGCAACCGAUUCUACUGAAGGCGAAAAUAAGCGUCUUAAACGAAUGUGAGGCAAAUUAAACAAUGUUUAUUAAUUU
Molecule: long non-coding RNA, 452 nt
Organism: Nematostella vectensis (starlet sea anemone)
Lineage: Eukaryota; Metazoa; Cnidaria; Anthozoa; Actiniaria; Edwardsiidae
Exons: 2
Source: RefSeq, a predicted model, not a curated record